This 253-nucleotide ribosomal RNA is filed under the name uncultured bacterium. RNAcentral describes it as "partial 16S ribosomal RNA". It matches the Rfam family "Bacterial small subunit ribosomal RNA", at positions 524 to 776 of the family's 1533-position model. The record is from RNAcentral.
GACGGAUGGGGCUAGCGUUGUUCGGAAUUACUGGGCGUAAAGGGCGCGUAGGCGGCCAAUUAAGUUAGACGUGAAAGCCCUAGGCUUAACCUAGGAAUUGCGUUUAAUACUGGUUGGCUAGAGUUCGGUAGAGGAAAGCGGAAUUCCUAGUGUAGAGGUGAAAUUCGUAGAUAUUAGGAAGAACACCAGAGGCGAAGGCGGCUUUCUGGCCCGAUACUGACGCUGAGGCGCGAAAGCGUGGGGAGCAAACAGG